RNAcentral lists this ribosomal RNA (147 nucleotides) under Coprinus sp. MF6183. Its description in RNAcentral is "5.8S ribosomal RNA". It matches the Rfam family "5.8S ribosomal RNA". Rfam says of the family: 5.8S ribosomal RNA (5.8S rRNA) is a component of the large subunit of the eukaryotic ribosome. It is transcribed by RNA polymerase I as part of the 45S precursor that also contains 18S and 28S rRNA. Lineage: Eukaryota; Fungi; Basidiomycota; Agaricomycetes; Agaricales; Agaricaceae. The record is from RNAcentral.
CAACUUUCAACAACGGAUCUCUUGGCUCUCGCAUCGAUGAAGAACGCAGCGAAAUGCGAUAAGUAAUGUGAAUUGCAGAAUUCAGUGAAUCAUCGAAUCUUUGAACGCACCUUGCGCUCCUUGGUAUUCCGAGGAGCAUGCCUGUUU